This 258-nucleotide ribosomal RNA is filed under the name uncultured bacterium. RNAcentral describes it as "partial 16S ribosomal RNA". It matches the Rfam family "Bacterial small subunit ribosomal RNA", at positions 71 to 334 of the family's 1533-position model. The record is from RNAcentral.
UUGCUUUCUUUUGCUGGCGACCGGCGCACGGGUGAGUAACACGUAUCCAACCUGCCCUUUACUCGGGGAUAGCCUUUCGAAAGAAAGAUUAAUACCCGAUAGCAUAAUGAUUCCGCAUGGUUUCAUUAUUAAAGGAUUCCGGUAAAGGAUGGGGAUGCGUUCCAUUAGGUUGUUGGUGGGGUAACGGCCCACCAAGCCUUCGAUGGAUAGGGGUUCUGAGAGGAAGGUCCCCCACAUUGGAACUGAGACACGGUCCAA